This 221-nucleotide long non-coding RNA is filed under the name Elaeis guineensis (African oil palm). RNAcentral's name for it is "long non-coding RNA (EGUI_LNC017854)". Lineage: Eukaryota; Viridiplantae; Streptophyta; Magnoliopsida; Arecales; Arecaceae. The record is from RNAcentral.
ACCGCUUCGAGAUAAAGAUGAUUAACAUCUUCUUUCACUUCUCUGAAAUAUCCUUAGACUCGAAGACCAUCUACACCACCUCCUCUCUAACAAUAGACUAAUACCGGUAGAAAAGGAGUAGGAGAAAGCCAUUCGAUCCUAGGGCCUUAUUCGAUCCAAGAGACUAAAGAACCCCCCGCAUCUUCUCGACCGACAUCGGACAGAUCAGAGCCUCAUUCUCU